RNAcentral lists this long non-coding RNA (1478 nucleotides) under Pogona vitticeps (central bearded dragon). Its description in RNAcentral is "lncRNA (ENSPVIG00000024446.1)". Lineage: Eukaryota; Metazoa; Chordata; Lepidosauria; Squamata; Agamidae. The record is from RNAcentral.
AAAGAAGCCGAAGGAUGCCUUUGGGAGCUCAAGAAGGAAACCCAUGGCUCUGUGCACACUUCUGCAUCAUCAUCAUCAUCAUCAUCAUGGGUGAUUCCCCUUCCUGCCUUUCCUAAGCAUAAAAUCCUCUGAGCUUUCCUUGCAGAUAGUUGCUGAUAUUCUUGGGAAGGGACCCCCACACCCACACACACACUGCCAUGAAAAGAGAGGAGGCGGAUGGACGGACAGACGGGCCUUGGGUGAGCUUCAUUGAUUUAAUGCCUCCUUAAAGGCAGCCGGAGGAGAGGUAGAGCCUGGCUUUACAUCAGGCGAGCCUCCGGGUCGCUCCGGCUGCUUUUGAUCAACCCUGUGUGAAAGAUGAGUGUCAUGCCCUCUUCCAGCUCACUGCGAGGGUCUGUCCUGUGAGCGGAGGGGCAUGCCGACGACACUCCCCUCUGGAGCCCAGAGGUAAGAGCAUCCUGGAGAGGUGAGAGAGAGAGACAGAGAGAGAGAGGGAGAGAGAGUUACUCAACUUGGACUCUCUGGAGAACCACACAUCAGGAGGUGGGGAGAAAUCUUCCCUCCCUCCCUGGUGCUCCGAGGUGAGUGUACACCCAGCAUGCAGAGGUGCCUGUGCUGCUCCAGAGGAGGGUAAAACAGACCCAGGCGUGUGUGUCUGUCUGUCUGUGUAUGUGUGUGUGUGUGAUGAUUCUGCCUUUCGUUACUUGUACAGGCAGGCAUGUUUCCUGGUUCUUCUUUGUACAACUCCCCAGCCCAGCAGAGGGGAUGGGAAACUCUCCUCCGGCUCUCCUAAGGCAGGCUGCAGCCUAAGAAGAAAUGUCGGAGGCUAUCCGAUGCACUCUGGUGAACUGCAGCUGCCAACAAUUCAAACCGGGGAAAAUAAACCAGCGACAGUGUGACCAGUGUCGGCACGGAUGGGUGGCCCAUGGUAAUAUCCCACCGUGUGGAGGAAUCCCUUUCCAACUGGAAGCUUAUUGGACAACAGAUCAAUAUGGAAAUCUUGUUCUCAAUUUAUUAACAGAGAUAUUACAAAAAACUCAGGCGUUGUCUAUAGACUGAGGAACAGACAUGAUGCCAGCUUUGCAAUUAGGAGCAGAACUCUCUCAAGUGUAAAAAGACAUCUGUUUUUUUCUUACUUUGAGAUUUUUGCAGCUCCCCAAGUUGCCAGUGUAGUUCCUGAGAACUUUGAAAAGAUGUGUCUUUGGAGGGAUGGUGUUGUGCCACCUUCUGAUUGCAAUGCUGGUGCUCAUCUAUUUCUUCCCCCUGCAACCCAGGUUGAAUUCCUUUGGGACCAUAUUUUGUUUGGUUCGAAAUCCGCAGCAAGCGCAGCCUUCCAUCCUUCCAGGCUCUAUGUCCUGUGAUCCAAUGCAACCUUAGAGGACCAGAAAAUAAUAACUCAACUGUGAAUCUGGUCUAGGCUUUAGCUCUCCAAGGUUCUGACUCCGUUUCAGGGGUGGGUUUCAGCACCGUAGAAAACG